This is an RNA transcript of Cucurbita maxima (winter squash), 617 nucleotides long. It is a transcript of the gene named defensin-like protein 5, with no coding region annotated. Lineage: Eukaryota; Viridiplantae; Streptophyta; Magnoliopsida; Cucurbitales; Cucurbitaceae. The record is from RefSeq and is a predicted model, not a curated record. The transcript has 5 exons.
AAGCGAAUAUCUAAGGCUACGAUCCACGAAAAGAAACUAGACACAAUAAGAAGUCUGUGGAAGAAAAUUGAAGGUAAUUCAGGUAUCGGAAGAUCAUGAACAGAGGUCCCGAACGUCGACAACGCGGUUUACGGAUUUCAAGGGACAUAAUCGAACUUUCAUUAAGGAUAUAUUCGUGACAACAACUUAAGUUAACCAGCAAGGAAUAAGAGAAGAAACAAACAUUCCAUUGUAGCAAGGAAUAAGAGAAGAAAAGAAUGGCGGGACAAAGCUUGAGAAAUCUCAAAAUUGUGGUGUUCAUCUUCCUAGCCCUUACUUCUGGAUGGAUGGUGGUGCAGACAGAGGGGCGGACAUGCUAUAAGCACAGCGAUGCAUUUAUAGGACCGUGCAUUGCAGCAACAUGUGCUGAACUUUGCAUUUCUUUUGAGAAGUGGGAUGACGGAUUUUGCUCGGGUGAUAAAUGCACUUGUACGAAGCAAUGUGCUGAGUCCAUGCUUUAAUGGGUUUGUAAUUCACCACAGUUGUUGCUAUCUGAAUGUAAUAAGCGACUCCAAUUCUACUGAAUUGCACAACAUGUUUACUAAUCAAAGCUUCCUUCUUCCAUUUUAUAAUUUUUA